UGGCUGAGCCGAAAACAAAGUGUGGGAAUACGUCUCCCAUUGGCUAAAUUACUGUCUGCAGGAGUGUUAGCGCAAAUAUUUAGACGGAGAUCCAAUUAUUACAAUGUGAUAUAGGCAAAUAUAUUAUGAGUAGAACAUUUGAUGCUGAAUUCCUUUCGUUAAUAAAUAUGCUGUUGUUAUUUUCAGCAACAAGUACGCAAACAGACGUCGAUGGCUGGUAGGCGUGGUGGUGUCUGCCAAUUUUGACGCGAAAGGCAUGUUUUUGUGUGAUAACUCGACUGGAGAAGUUUGCUUUUUACUCUCUCGUUGGCAGUCACGAACAUUAGUUAGUUACCGGAAAUUGAAAGUUAAAUGUUUACUAAACUUGCAUCUAAAAUGAGUAUAACCUCUGCAAGAGUUUCACGCCAAGCAGAUGAGUACGUGCGGUUAUCCCUGGUUAAAUGUACAGGACUCGGAAUUACGACGGGUACAAGUAAAGCAGUAAUUUACCUAGAACUGGUAGCAACAUCAAUGAAGUUACCUCUGGACAAAGAAUAUGACUUCAAAUUAUCCGGGUUGAACAAGAAGCAGUAUCAAAGCAAUCUGAAGGCCUGAGAUUGAAUGCAUGCUUGGCCUCGAGUCUCACCUAGGAGUCCUUAACCUUCAAAUAUUUUGUCAACUACUAUUU
Long non-coding RNA from Oncorhynchus kisutch (coho salmon), 667 nucleotides. RefSeq lists it as uncharacterized. NCBI's taxonomy places the organism in Eukaryota, Metazoa, Chordata, Actinopteri, Salmoniformes, Salmonidae. The transcript has 3 exons. The record is from RefSeq and is a predicted model, not a curated record.